CCAGCCAGCCUUGGGAGCAGACACUCUCUCACUGUGCCAUUCACUCACCCUGGAUCCUCUGACCGGCUGUGACUGAUCUGCCUUCCAGGGACAGUGCGGGAACCGCCCAGGCUGGGGCUAGUCUCAGUGCAGGGGCAUCAGCCCAGCUCACUCUACACAGCCCAGUCUGUACAUGCAGCCCCGCCUGGCAACGCGCAAGCGCAGCCCGCCCCCUAUCUGCUACACUGCCCAUCACAGCCACAGCAUGGGAG
Pelobates cultripes (western spadefoot toad) is the source of this 251-nucleotide non-coding RNA. Lineage: Eukaryota; Metazoa; Chordata; Amphibia; Anura; Pelobatidae. The record is from the annotation of a GenBank genome assembly.